UGAAUCUAUGACCGGUAUUGCAUGGCCGUCGUAAGUCCCUGUGUUAAACUAAAAGGGACCCAAUCCGGGCGUUUGCCUGAAGGAAGUCAGGUCUUAUGAUCCGAAUGUUGGGGGAUUUAUGCGCUACAUUUUCUUAUAUAAUGAGAGACUUGAGAGGUAAGCCUCUAAAGUAAGAGUUCGGAAGGUCGCUGUAAAACGACUGGAAGUUGGAUUUAAUAGUAAUCGGAAAGUAGAGCGUUCCGGUGAAU
RNAcentral lists this ribosomal RNA (248 nucleotides) under Exaiptasia diaphana. RNAcentral's name for it is "partial 12S ribosomal RNA". It matches the Rfam family "Bacterial small subunit ribosomal RNA", at positions 1024 to 1367 of the family's 1533-position model. Lineage: Eukaryota; Metazoa; Cnidaria; Anthozoa; Actiniaria; Aiptasiidae. The record is from RNAcentral.